RNAcentral lists this small RNA (71 nucleotides) under Salix viminalis (osier). Lineage: Eukaryota; Viridiplantae; Streptophyta; Magnoliopsida; Malpighiales; Salicaceae. The record is from RNAcentral.
UAAUAGAAUCUGAAGAAAUCUAAAUUAAAAAAAAAAAAAAAAAACAGGGGAAAUUUCUUCAGAUUCCAUUA